RNAcentral lists this ribosomal RNA (492 nucleotides) under uncultured bacterium. RNAcentral's name for it is "partial 16S ribosomal RNA". It matches the Rfam family "Bacterial small subunit ribosomal RNA", at positions 29 to 507 of the family's 1533-position model. The record is from RNAcentral.
AGUGAACGCUGGCGGUAGGCCUAACACAUGCAAGUCGAACGGCAGCACAGUAAGAGCUUGCUCUUACGGGUGGCGAGUGGCGGACGGGUGAGGAAUACAUCGGAAUCUACUUUUUCGUGGGGGAUAACGUAGGGAAACUUACGCUAAUACCGCAUACGACCUACGGGUGAAAGCAGGGGAUCUUCGGACCUUGCGCGAUUGAAUGAGCCGAUGUCGGAUUAGCUAGUUGGCGGGGUAAAGGCCCACCAAGGCGACGAUCCGUAGCUGGUCUGAGUGGAUGAUCAGCCACACUGGAACUGAGACACGGUCCAGACUCCUACGGGAGGCAGCAGUGGGCAACAUUGGACAAUGGGCGCAAGCCUGGUCCAGCCAUCCCGCGUCGGUGAAGAAGGCCUUCGGGUUGUAAAGCCCUUUUUUUGGGAAAGAAAAGCAGCAGGUUAAUACCCCGCUGUUCUGACGGUACCCAAAGAAUAAGCACCGGCUAACUUCGUG